GAGGGUAUAGCUCAGUGAUAGAGUGCAUGCUUAGCAUACACAAGGUCCUGGGUUCAAUCCCCAGUACUGCCA
This 72-nucleotide transfer RNA is filed under the name Camelus bactrianus (Bactrian camel). It matches the Rfam family "tRNA". From Rfam's summary of the family: Transfer RNA (tRNA) molecules are approximately 80 nucleotides in length. Their secondary structure includes four short double-helical elements and three loops (D, anti-codon, and T loops). Lineage: Eukaryota; Metazoa; Chordata; Mammalia; Artiodactyla; Camelidae. The record is from Rfam by way of RNAcentral. RNAcentral also lists the same sequence under 2 other names.